GUAUAACCAUCUUCAGUACCACUGGGUGUCCUGUGUUUGGUGGAAGGCCUUAAGCAGAGACUUCCAGAAGAACCUCUUCACAGCAAAUCCCUGAUUAGCAAUGUAUAGUGACUGAAGGAUGCUGAUGUCUUAGAGGCCAAAGCCUGUGGAGACACGGAGUGGAGCUGUCAGGUGGAGAGGAAGGAGGAGACACGGAAAUGACACAGAAGGACACAGUUCCGGUUCCUGAGAAAACCAAACAGCCCACUGAGUGUUUCCUGUCACAGGUGAAGGAACCAAAAACAGAGGACUCCCGGAAGAGCAGGAAGUGGAAGAAGAAGAAAAUUUCUGAUAUUCUUGCAAAAUCAGAGCCCAAACCAGGGACCCCUGAAGACCUUCAGAAGCUGAUCAAGGGC
This 395-nucleotide long non-coding RNA is filed under the name Rattus norvegicus (Norway rat). RNAcentral's name for it is "long non-coding RNA NONRATT006518". Lineage: Eukaryota; Metazoa; Chordata; Mammalia; Rodentia; Muridae. The record is from RNAcentral.